CACACACAGCCCUGUGUCAGCCUACAAAGCCCUCCAUGAAGAGUACCCUCCUCUCUCCUCAUCAUCAGUCAGUAUGAGGCCCAACAAGAGUUGAUGGAAGCAAAGAGCCAAGCGUUAACAAGCUCUGCCAGUCCUCUCGCUCGCAGUGUAGGAAUCGGCCUUCAAAACCAGUACGAUCAGACAAUCACUUAAACCCCUUUAACAUCACUUUAAUGACAUCUACACACGCACAUACACUCAGAGCUAGUGGUUAUGUAAUAGUCAGGCGGAAGAACUGCAGGAAAUAACCAACAUUUUUUGAUUAUUAUCUUGAAUGUGAUAUAUUGCCUUCUAGAAGACUAGAUGAUCACGAUUUGAGACUUUGAAUAAUAUCAUCCAUAAUUAUGGACUAAUGAGGGCACAAGAUAUACUGCAUAAUUGUUUUGUUUGAUCCUUGCUCCACAUUUGCAGGAUAUACACUUUCUCUUCAAGAAAUCCUUUGAUGAGAGAACAAAAUCAGGAGCAUCCGGCAUUAAUUGAGCACAAGGCAACUAAACUCACCAGGGUGGAUCUUAAAAUCUUCCAGAGGCACUGAGCUGGCUGUCUGGCCAAUGUGCUGCAGAACCUCCUCAUCCAGUCCUGUGGGGACACAGCUCAUGCUCCUGGGUUCUCCCUCCGCUGUGAAGAAAUCUACAGAGAGAGAGAAUACUUCACUCCAGCAGGAAGAGAAAAUAUUUAAAGAAAAAGCAGUCAAUCAAAUAAAAACUUGAGUUACUAAAUUGCAAAGGGGCAAUUUACCUGGCCAGGGGGAGUCGAGCCAGUGUUGAAUAUGUAAAAUCUUUUCAUCCUUGGAGCUGGUGUAUGCCUCCUCACAUAUCUUGUCAUAUUUGGCAACUUCUUCCUGUGACCAACAUUUGGCAAUGCGUGAUAUGGACAGAGAAAUGUCACAUAUUAACUGAUGCACAGUUUGUCUGCUUCGAUUAAAAUACAGCUGACUAACCAAAA
Molecule: long non-coding RNA, 984 nt
Organism: Dicentrarchus labrax (European seabass)
Lineage: Eukaryota; Metazoa; Chordata; Actinopteri; Moronidae
Exons: 2
Source: RefSeq, a predicted model, not a curated record